RNAcentral lists this ribosomal RNA (577 nucleotides) under uncultured bacterium. Its description in RNAcentral is "bacterial SSU rRNA". It matches the Rfam family "Bacterial small subunit ribosomal RNA", at positions 338 to 916 of the family's 1533-position model. The record is from RNAcentral.
CCUACGGGAGGCAGCAGUAAGGAAUAUUGGACAAUGGGCGAAAGCCUGAUCCAGCCAUGCCGCGUGAAGGAUUAAGGUCCUCUGGAUUGUAAACUUCUUUUAUGUGGGACGAAAAAAGGGCAUUCUUGCUCACUUGACGGUACCAUAUGAAUAAGCACCGGCUAACUCCGUGCCAGCAGCCGCGGUAAUACGGAGGGUGCAAGCGUUAUCCGGAUUCACUGGGUUUAAAGGGUGCGUAGGCGGAUAGGUAAGUCAGUGGUGAAAUCUCGAAGCUUAACUUCGAAACUGCCAUUGAUACUAUCUAUCUUGAAUAUUGUGGAGGUUUGCGGAAUAUGUCAUGUAGCGGUGAAAUGCUUAGAUAUGACAUAGAACACCGAUUGCGAAGGCAGCAGGCUACACAUAUAUUGACGCUGAGGCACGAAAGCGUGGGGAUCAAACAGGAUUAGAUACCCUGGUAGUCCACGCCCUAAACGAUGAUUACUCGACAUACGCGAUACACUGUGUGUGUCUGAGCGAAAGCAUUAAGUAAUCCACCUGGAAGUACGUCCGCAAGGAUGAAACUCAAAUGAAUUGACGG